This 1562-nucleotide long non-coding RNA is filed under the name Equus caballus (horse). Its description in RNAcentral is "lncRNA (ENSECAG00000046268.1)". Lineage: Eukaryota; Metazoa; Chordata; Mammalia; Perissodactyla; Equidae. The record is from RNAcentral.
UAAGCCCAGCAGCCAGUGUGCAGCCAGGCCCAGCACACGCUCCCGCAGCCAGCAACUUCCUCUGAAGCUGCAACGCAUAAUUACAACCAGCUGCUCCUGGCUGCUGGCUGGCCAGCUCUGCAAACAGGCAUCCUGAUACCCUGAGUUCCAGGGAGGAAGCAGCCUGCUUUUGGCAGGAGCAAAUUCUCCGAAGGAAGUGCCCACACCCUUGGAAGAACAGGGAGCAGCCCUUCUCUCUCGUGUAGCUCCCAGAGGCCAGCGUUCCCCUGUCUGGUCUCCUCUCUCUUCCAUGUCAGAGAGAGUCAUUUUUAUUGUUAAUAGGAAGGUGUCUGCUUUGUCACCUGCAGCUGCCCUGGCCCUGUGGCCUAUUGUCUGAGCUGGUGCCACCUCAAGCAGGAUGGCAUGUGCUAGGCCUAACUCGGGGGGCAGUAGCAUGGGGGACCCAGGCUUUUCGUUGGCAUCUCAGCUGCGUCAGUUUGCAAACAUGUGCACUGCCCUUAGCUAGCAGGAGGUGAAAAGACAAGUGGCGUGGCUUUAAAACAACACCAGUGAAAAUCCAAACAAGUCUAACUUGACCUCCCCAAGGAGAACAGCAUGUGGGCAAGAGAGCUGAGGAUUCACCCAGGACCUGCCUCAGAGCUGGGGGUUCAUUUUGGGGCCUUAGUGAUCUUUCAGGCUUGCCUACAAGUAUGACUCUGAUCCAAAAUUAGGCUUUGAAUGUGUAACACAAGGCUCCCUGCCCCACCCACCGCCUCCCUCUGCCCUGUGCCGUUUCUUCAGAGCCUGGCUCUGGGCCAGAUCUGGCCCUUCUGGCUCCUGGGGGAAGGGCUGGAUGCAGUGUUCUGUUUCCAGGCAGGGCUUUAGGGUGGGUGAAGGUGAUUGCACUAUUCAGGAAGGGGUGCGGAGGUGAUACGCUUGGGAAGGGCACCCAACCCUCAAAUGCCUCACCCCAUCAACCCAAAGCUGGAGAAGACUUAGGGCAGUGCGCAUUGCUUAUGCCCACCUGUGCCUUCCAGCUUGGGCUUCUAAUAGGCCUUCGACAGCGAGAGAGCCAAGCCAUGUGGGCCGGCCACUCUGUCAAGCCCAACAGCAGCCUCAGAGGUUUUUCUUCGGGCUUGCAAUGAGGAACAAGCUUAACAAGCAAACAGUCAUGUCUGAGCUCUCAGUUCACCGCAAACCAUACUUGAGAACGUCGGGAUGAGAGCGUGGCUUUAGAGGGCUCCGCUCCCCGAGAAGGAAUGUGGAGAAGGCACCUACAGCCCUGUGGUAUCAGUCCAGCCAUUGAAGUGGGUUUCAUGGAAAACCAUCCACCGACAAAGAAAGAAACGCAAGUACUUUCUUCAGAUGGAGAAACUGAAGCACGAAGAGGUGAAGUGAGGUCACCAAGGGAGCAGCUUGCAACAGAAUAUGUUAGAGAUCUCAGCUGGGUUUCUCCAGGACAGAUGACAAAGUUAAUGCAGGUAGGUAACAAAAUGGACAUGACAUGAGCACAGACAGGAUAUGGAGAAGAGAGGAUGAAGCCUGAACAACCUUGCCUGCACUAUUCAAUACAUUAGCCGCAC